UACGUAGGGGGCAAGCGUUGUCCGGAAUCAUUGGGCGUAAAGAGCGUGUAGGCGGUCCGGUAAGUCCGCUGUGAAAGUCAAGGGCUCAACCCUUGAAUGCCGGUGGAUACUGCUGGACUAGAGUCCGGAAGAGGCGAGUGGAAUUCCUGGUGUAGCGGUGAAAUGCGCAGAUAUCUGGAGGAACACCGGUGGCGAAGGCGGCAUCCUGGACCGGCAUUGACGCUGAGGCGCGAAAGCCAGGGGAGCAAACGGG
This 253-nucleotide ribosomal RNA is filed under the name uncultured bacterium. RNAcentral describes it as "partial 16S ribosomal RNA". It matches the Rfam family "Bacterial small subunit ribosomal RNA", at positions 524 to 776 of the family's 1533-position model. The record is from RNAcentral.